AUUGAACGCUGGCGGCAGGCCUAACACAUGCAAGUCGAGCGGUAACAUUUCUAGCUUGCUAGAAGAUGACGAGCGGCGGACGGGUGAGUAAUGCUUGGAAAAUCUGCCUGGUAGUGGGGGACAACAGUUGGAAACGACUGCUAAUGCCGCAUAACCUCUUCGGAGCAAAGUAGGGGGACCCGUCGGCCUCACGCUACCAGAUGAGUCCAAGUGGGAUUAGCUAGUUGGUGAGGUAAGGACUCACCAAGGCGACGAUCCCUAGCUGGUUUUGAGAGGAUGAUCAGCCACAC
This 290-nucleotide ribosomal RNA is filed under the name uncultured Gammaproteobacteria bacterium. RNAcentral's name for it is "partial 16S ribosomal RNA". It matches the Rfam family "Bacterial small subunit ribosomal RNA", at positions 30 to 313 of the family's 1533-position model. Lineage: Bacteria; Pseudomonadati; Pseudomonadota; Gammaproteobacteria. The record is from RNAcentral.